AGUGAACGCUGGCGGUAGGCCUAACACAUGCAAGUCGAACGGCAGCACAGUAAGAGCUUGCUCUUACGGGUGGCGAGUGGCGGACGGGUGAGGCAUACAUCGGAAUCUACUUUUUCGUGGGGGAUAACGUAGGGAAACUUACGCUAAUACCGCAUACGACCUACGGGUGAAAGCAGGGGAUCUUCGGACCUUGCGCGAUUGAAUGAGCCGAUGUCGGAUUAGCUAGUUGGCGGGGUAAAGGCCCACCAAGGCGACGAUCCGUAGCUGGUCUGAGAGGAUGAUCAGCCACACUGGAACUGAGACACGGUCCAGACUCCUACGGGAGGCAGCAGUGGGGAAUAUUGGACAAUGGGCGCAAGCCUGAUCCAGCCAUACCGCGUGGGUGAAGAAGGCCUUCGGGUUGUAAAGCCCUAUUGUUGGGAAAGAAAAGCAGCAGGUUAAUACCCCGCUGUUCUGACGGUACCCAAAGAAUAAGCACCGGCUAACUUCGUG
RNAcentral lists this ribosomal RNA (492 nucleotides) under uncultured bacterium. RNAcentral's name for it is "partial 16S ribosomal RNA". It matches the Rfam family "Bacterial small subunit ribosomal RNA", at positions 29 to 507 of the family's 1533-position model. The record is from RNAcentral.